Molecule: ribosomal RNA, 484 nt
Filed under: uncultured bacterium
Lineage: Bacteria
Description: partial 16S ribosomal RNA
Rfam family: Bacterial small subunit ribosomal RNA
Source: RNAcentral
AUUGAACGCUGGCGGCAUGCCUAACACAUGCAAGUCGAGCGGAUGAAGGGAGCUUUCUCCUGGCUUCCGCGGCGGACGGGUGGGUAAUGCCCAGGUAUCUGCCUGGUAGUGGGGGCUGACGUCCGUAAACGGGCCCUAAUCCCGCAUCCGUCCUGAUGGAGAAAGGGAGGGAUCUUCGGACAUCGCGCUAUCAGCUGAGCCUAGGCCGUAUUAGCUAGUUGGUUUGGUAAAGGCUUACCAAGGCGACGAUGCGUAGCUGGCCUGAGAGGGUGAUCAGCCACACUGGAACUGAGACACGGUCCAGACUCCUACGGGAGGCAGCAGUAGGGAAUCUUCCGCAAUGGGCGAAAGCCUGACGGAGCAACGCCGCGUGAGUGAUGAAGGUCUUCGGAUCGUAAAACUCUGUUAGUAGGGAAGAACAAAUGUGUAAGUAACUAUGCACGUCUUGACGGUACCUAAUGAGAAAGCCACGGCUAACUACGUG